UGGGGAAUUUUGCACAAUGGGGGAAACCCUGAUGCAGCGACGCCGCGUGAUUUAGAAGGCCUUCGGGUUGUAAAAAUCUUUUUUACGGGAUGAAAAUGACAGUACCGUAAUAAUAAGGUCCGGCUAAAUACGUGCCAGCAGCCGCGGUAAUACGUAUGGACCGAGCGUUGUCCGGAAUCAUUGGGCGUAAAGGGUACGUAGGCGGCCUAGUAAGUUAGAAGUUAAAGAAUAUAGCUCAACUAUAUAAAGCUUUUAAAACUGCUAGGCUUGAGAGAUGGAAGGGAAAGUAGAAUUCCUAGUGUAGCGGUGAAAUGCGCAGAUAUUAGGAAGAAUACCGGUGGCGAAGGCGACUUUCUGGUCAUCAUCUGACGCUGAGGUACGAAAGCGUGGGUAGCAAACAGG
Molecule: ribosomal RNA, 402 nt
Filed under: Bacteroidota bacterium
Lineage: Bacteria; Pseudomonadati; Bacteroidota
Description: Bacteroidetes bacterium partial 16S ribosomal RNA
Rfam family: Bacterial small subunit ribosomal RNA
Source: RNAcentral